This 404-nucleotide ribosomal RNA is filed under the name Actinomycetes bacterium. RNAcentral describes it as "Actinobacteria bacterium partial 16S ribosomal RNA". It matches the Rfam family "Bacterial small subunit ribosomal RNA", at positions 355 to 776 of the family's 1533-position model. The record is from RNAcentral. Lineage: Bacteria; Bacillati; Actinomycetota; Actinomycetes.
UGGGGAAUAUUGGACAAUGGGCGCAAGCCUGAUCCAGCCAUGCCGCGUGAGUGAUGAAGGCCCUAGGGUUGUAAAGCUCUUUUACCGGUGAAGAUAAUGACGGUAACCGGAGAAGAAGCCCUGGCUAACUUCGUGCCAGCAGCCGCGGUAAUACGAAGGGGGCUAGCGUUGUUCGGAUUUACUGGGCGUAAAGCGCACGUAGGCGGACUUUUAAGUCAGGGGUGAAAUCCCGGGGCUCAACCCCGGAACUGCCUUUGAUACUGGAAGUCUUGAGUAUGGUAGAGGUGAGUGGAAUUCCGAGUGUAGAGGUGAAAUUCGUAGAUAUUCGGAGGAACACCAGUGGCGAAGGCGGCUCACUGGACCAUUACUGACGCUGGGGUGCGAAAGCGUGGGGAGCAAACAGG